This is a non-coding RNA of Schistosoma margrebowiei, 47 nucleotides long. The record is from Rfam. NCBI's taxonomy places the organism in Eukaryota, Metazoa, Platyhelminthes, Trematoda, Strigeidida, Schistosomatidae.
CUAAUUACUGAAGAGUCCCAUACUAGGACGAAACGGUCGUCCAGUAC